UCCCACUGUCCCAGCGGGUCCCUCCACACGCUCUCUCUGUUCCUCCCCAUCUCUCCCCUCGUUCCUCCAGAAUUGCCCCACCCCAGUGCCCAAUUGUUGUCCCUGUGUCUUGUAGAGCCGUUCUGCUACCCGCUCUGGAGUGGGGACAGUCUACACGUGUACCUGCAGAUUCCAACUCACCAGGUAGAGUCUCUCCCAAAGAGUCAUUUGAAUCACACAUUUCUCCCUCUUGUUUCAAAUAUUGUUAUGAAUUAAUGGAUGGCAGUAACAAAGGACAUUUGUCUACCGCUCUCCAUUUCCCAUCCCAAACAGACACAACUCAAUGGCAACACCGUCUUUAGGCGGUUACUUGGUGCCCGGCCCAGUGCCAGCAUUGCACAUCAGAGGUGGUACUGCCCCCAAAGUGCUCCCAGCCUACUGGCAAGAACAGAUGCACAAACAAGUAGAGAGGAGUGAAGCCACAAUCUGUGCCAUCCCUGGGGCAGAGGAGCAACUUAACUGCUGUGCUGUGAAGGACGAGCAAAUUCCAGGUGAACACGAUGGGGGAGGUCACCCCACAGGAAGACAGCUUGUGCAGAGGCACAGCAGGGAAAGAGCGGGUGGCCUUCAUGCUGGGGGUAGGGCUGAGGGUGGAGGAGCACCAUGGGAGGAGCGGAGAGAGCACACCAGGCCAGACUGCGCCAGCGCCCGGGGGCUGGGCGGCGACUCCAUCCUACAGGUGAUGGGGUGCGGCCACUUGUGAAAGGCAAGCCAUGUGGCAGACAUCUUCCCCAGAGCCCGCUGAGCCGUGUGCCCCUCUGUCUCCAUUUCUAAGGCCUCAAAAGAGAAUUCACGAUCUGACUCUCCCACAAACACACAGCAGAGGCGGCCAUUUUCCGGCUGCUGUGACGGCAGAUCAGUUUCACCUGUACUUGAACUUUGUCUGAAUGGAUCAUCCAGUAUAAACUCCUUUGUGUCUGGCAUCGUUGGCUCAAGGUGUCUAUGAUAUUCAUCCGUGGGUAGAGUCUUUUCAAGCUUUGUUUCAAACAUUGAGAGUUGGGGCACUGAACUCGCAGAGGCCCAGACUUACCAGUCUCUUACUCACCCACCACAGAAGUGGGGCCUCAGGAAAAGGAGCGUUUACCGUCUUCUUUUAGAAGCUUACCCCGAACAUAAGCCUCAAGGACCACGACGUGGAGCGAGACCCCCACCCGCACUGAGCAGCGAGUCUCACUGCAGUACCCAACUCGAGAGAAGCGAUUAAACCCAGGGUGGAUUUUCUAUGCCCAGUGGUUUUCCAUUUUGUGUUUUAAUUUUUACUUUAAGGACUUAAUUUUAACAAAAGAGCCAAAUUACCACCAUGCUUUAAAAUGAACUUGUCUACAGGAGUUAAAAACAGGCUUUAGACUGUGAAGCUUUAAUUAACUUUGGAAGAUGGUAAUUAAACAGCCCCUGUGCCCGUCUCAAGCUUUGCAAAGGCAAGGAAGGGAGGCCAGAGUCUGGAGUUCUCACCUGGGCAGAACACUGGAGGCCCCUGAGAAGCUUCCACGUUCCCCAUGCCCAGGCCACACCCUUGACCAAUGACGUCAGAACCUGUAGGGUUGGCAUGCAGACACUAGGAUAGUUUUUUAAGCUCUCAGGCCAUUCCAGCACGCAUCAGAGGUUGAGAAUCUCUAGACCGAUUGGCAGCUGUCGAUGGUGGUGGGCUGAGAGAUGGGGAAGAUGGAAAUGGGUGAGGCUGAGAGACACAGAGAGGUCUUCACACCAAGUUACAUCUCAGCUUUGGAAAAAACCAGGGGCCCACAACCAAGCCAGGUGGCACCAAGAGACAUUUCCAACCUCUAAGGAAGUUAUGGGCUGAACUUUGUUCCCCAAAAUUCAUGUGUUGAAGCCCCACCCUGGGUACCUCAGAAUGUGACUGUAUUUGGAGAUGGGCCCUUUAAAGAGGUGAUUUCGGUAGAAUGAGGCCGUUAGGAGGAACUUAAUGCAAUCUGACUGGUGUGCUUGUAGGAAGAGGAGAUUCAGGCAGACAGAGACACUGGGCGCAGGCACAGAGGGAAGGGCCUGUGGAGGGGAAGCGAGAGGCGGCCAUCUGCAGGCCCAGGAGAGAGGCCUCAGGAGAACCCACCCCAGCACCUUGAUCUUGGGCUUCCAGCCUCUGGGACGGUGAGAAAAUAAAGGCGUGCUGUUGAGCCCCCGUCCGGUGUUUGUGUGGCACCAGGAGCCGAAUAAGACAAGUUCCACUUCAGCUCUGUGGCCACGUGUGUGAAGAGUCCCCCAGGGGCCACUCUUCUGGUGCAGCGUCUCCACUCACAGGACUCUGCCCUAAGAGUUACCCAGGAACACCCUUAGAGAAUUAUCUACAGGACGUCCACAGAACAUUCUUUACAAUUGUGGAUAAGGGUGAUGUUCAACGACAGGAGACGGAGAGGUAAAUGAUAGUAAUCAAUUCCACCGGGCGUGAGGAAGCCAUUGAGUUAUCAAGAUUUUUAAAGCUGCACACUCAGCACGACCUCUCACCUGUGCAAAAGUGUGUGGAUCUUGAUCUUGAUGCCUCAUCCUGAGAUCUAACGCCGUCCCAGGACACCAGAGAAAGGAACGCGGGUCGAGGCGGUCCAAAAGCAAACGAACGUCAAUCUUUGUGCCCAGCACUUCGAACCUUUGAUGCUCCAGGAAAAGGUGACACAAGAAACUACAAAAAACAAAAAACCUAACAACAUUCGUUUUUGUGAUUCAAGAACCAAAGCUUUGGGUGUAUGAAACUCGCCACCCACCCAAAAAGCCUGAAACUCUGGAGGCCUUUGGCAUCAGUUUUACGCCAUCAGCGAGAGAUCAGAAGGAUGCCGUUCAGAAAGGGCCCGCUUUUCCCUCCCCCGCCCUCCCCCACCUCCUAGGACUGGGUGAAGUUCCCCGGGCCAGAGGAGGAAGAGGACUGGGGCGAAGCAGAGGCUGGUGGGACUUCUGAGAAGGGGCCUUGUCCCUGGCCCUUACCUGGGGCUCUGCCUGGACGUGGGGAUGACAAUAGCCGCAUGAGCUGGGGGAUCUGAGAACAGAGGCCUGGAGCCUGGUUCCCCUGCUGGGUGGGGGCAGAAGCACGGGAAUGUUUGGGCAAAUGCCCUGGGACAGCCUCAGGGGCUGAGCAGGAGAGCUACAGGCCGCCCGGGUGCCCACAAGGUGUCCAGGCUCUUUGCCAGGUCCCACACCACGCCCUGCCGUCCCUCUGCUUUUUCAGCCACGGCUGGGGCUCCUCAGAGCUUAGACAGUCCUCCUGUUGGGUGGCCCAGGCUGGGGAAGGACAGCGAGGUGCCAGCCCAGCCCCAGGCUGUCGCUGCCUUUGAGGAGGGCCUGCUGCUUGCUCUCGGGCUUGCCGGUCUGGAGCUCUCCUACAACCCUGGGAACUAAGUGCCUUUGUCACUUACAGAUGAGGACACCUAGGCUCAGGGAGGUGACGUAAUGUGCUCAGGCCACACAGAGUGGAAUUCAGACCGUGGUCUGACUUUUUGUUGGUUUCAACUGACUUCAGCUCCCGGAUUCUUUUUUUUUUUUGAGGAAGAUUAGCCCUGAGCUAACAUCUGCUGCCAAUCAUCCUCUUUUUGCUGAGGAAGACUGGCCCUGAGCUAACAUUCAUACCCAUCUUCCUCUACUUUAUAUGUGGGACGCCUACCACAGCAUGGUGUGCUAAGCGGUGCCAUGUCUGCAACCAGGAUCCGAACUGGCGAACCCCGGGCCGCUGAGAAGCAGAACAUGCGAACUUAACCGCUGCACCACCGGCCGGCCCCAUCAGCGCCUGGAUUCUUUUCUCUACUCAAUGGAGACAAAAAGAGCUGAGGUGGCAAUGCCACAUCAUGUGCCCUCGGCUAGUCCUGGGACCAGAAAGCCGGACAGGAGGAGGAAAAGAAGGAACCACCAGAGCCACUGUCUCUGUUAAGUACAGUUUGCUAUAUUCAUGGAGACGGCGCAGUCUCCAUGAAUGAAAUUACGUCUCCCACAGGGAUCACGCCCAAUUCAAAG
RNAcentral lists this long non-coding RNA (3990 nucleotides) under Equus caballus (horse). RNAcentral's name for it is "lncRNA (ENSECAG00000050988.1)". The record is from RNAcentral. Lineage: Eukaryota; Metazoa; Chordata; Mammalia; Perissodactyla; Equidae.